CGGUACGUACUGGCAUCGUCGGUUUCUCCCUUCUGACGAACCAUGAUGUCAUUUAUUUGGUGUUGUGGGGAAUCAGGACUGUUACUUUGAAAAAAUUAGAGUGUUUAAAGCAGGCUCACGCUUGAAUACAUUAGCAUGGAAUAAUGAAAUAGGACGUUUGAUUCUAUUUUGUUGGUUUCUAGGAUCGACGUAAUGAUUAAUAGGGAUAGUUGGGGGCAUUAGUAUUCAAUUGUCAGAGGUGAAAUUCUUGGAUUUAUUGAAGACUAACUACUGCGAAAGCAUUUGCCAAGGAUGUUUUCAUUGAUCAUGAACGAAAGUUAGGGGAUCGAAGACGAUCAGAUACCGUCGUAGUCUUAACCAUAAACUAUGCCGACUAGGGAUCGGAUGAUGUUAAUUUUUUAAUGACUCAUUCGGCGCCUUACG
RNAcentral lists this ribosomal RNA (423 nucleotides) under uncultured Glomeromycotina. RNAcentral describes it as "SSU rRNA". It matches the Rfam family "Eukaryotic small subunit ribosomal RNA", at positions 671 to 1092 of the family's 1831-position model. Lineage: Eukaryota; Fungi; Glomeromycota. The record is from RNAcentral.